AUUGAACGCUGGCGGCAUGCUUUACACAUGCAAGUCGAACGGUAACAGGCCUUCGGGUGCUGACGAGUGGCGAACGGGUGAGUAAUGCAUCGGAACGUACCCAGAGGUGGGGGAUAACGCAGCGAAAGCUGUGCUAAUACCGCAUGUGAUCUGAGGAUGAAAGCGGGGGACCGAGCAGCAAUGUUUGGCCUCGCGCCUUUGGAGCGGCCGAUGUCGGAUUAGCUAGUUGGUGGGGUAAAGGCCUACCAAGGCGGCGAUCCGUAGCUGGUCUGAGAGGCCGGCCAGCCACACUGGGACUGAGACACGGCCCAGACUCCUACGGGAGGCAGCAGUGGGGAAUUUUGGACAAUGGGCGCAAGCCUGAUCCAGCAAUGCCGCGUGCGGGAAGAAGGCCUUCGGGUUGUAAACCGCUUUUGGCAGGAACGAAACGGUGUCCGCUAAUACCGGGCGCUAAUGACGGUACCUGCAGAAUAAGCACCGGCUAACUACGUG
Molecule: ribosomal RNA, 492 nt
Filed under: uncultured bacterium
Lineage: Bacteria
Description: partial 16S ribosomal RNA
Rfam family: Bacterial small subunit ribosomal RNA
Source: RNAcentral